Molecule: small nucleolar RNA, 107 nt
Filed under: Leersia perrieri
Lineage: Eukaryota; Viridiplantae; Streptophyta; Magnoliopsida; Poales; Poaceae
Description: snoRNA snoR71
Rfam family: Plant small nucleolar RNA R71
About the family: R71 is a member of the C/D box family of snoRNAs containing the C (UGAUGA) and D (CUGA) box motifs.
Source: Rfam by way of RNAcentral
AUCCCAUGAUGAGGACAAGCGGCGAUGUACUCCUGCAGACGUUCCCAUGCCUCGGGGACGGACUCAUCCCUUGUCUGCUGGAAGCUUGAAAUUCACCCGCGAAGGGC